UUAGCUCAUAUUUGUAUGGAAUGGGAUCGUUUGCGUACGUUUGCCGCUAGGGGCGCUGUUCUAACUGCAUACAAAAUUGGGUUA
Molecule: non-coding RNA, 84 nt
Organism: Bombyx mori (domestic silkworm)
Lineage: Eukaryota; Metazoa; Arthropoda; Insecta; Lepidoptera; Bombycidae
Source: Rfam